AACCUCCGCAAUGUGAGAAAUCGCGACGGGGGGAUCCCAAGUGCCAUUCUUAACGGGAUGGCUUUUCAUUAGUGUAAAGAGCUUUUGGAAUAAGGGCUGGGCAAGACCGGUGCCAGCCGCCGCGGUAACACCGGCAGCUCUAGUGGUAGCAGUUUUUAUUGGGCCUAAAGCGUCCGUAGCCGGUUUAAUAAGUCUCUGGUGAAAUCCUGUAGCUUAACUGUGGGAAUUGCUGGAGAUACUAUUAGACUUGAGACCGGGAGAGGUUAGAGGUACUCCCAGGGUAGAGGUGAAAUUCUGUAAUCCUGGGAGGACCGCCUGUUGCGAAGGCGUCUAACUGGAACGGUUCUGACGGUGAGGGACGAAAGUUAGGGGCGCGAACCGGAUUAGAUACCCGGGUAGUCCUAACCGUAAACGAUGCGGACUUGGUGUUGGGGUGGCUUUGAGCUGCUCCAGUGCCGAAGGGAAGCUGUUAAGUCCGCCGCCUGGGAAGUACGGUCGCAAGACUGAAACUUAAAGGAAGU
RNAcentral lists this ribosomal RNA (521 nucleotides) under uncultured bacterium. RNAcentral describes it as "bacterial SSU rRNA". It matches the Rfam family "Archaeal small subunit ribosomal RNA", at positions 345 to 866 of the family's 1478-position model. The record is from RNAcentral.